CCUACGGGCGGCAGCAGUGAGGAAUAUUGGUCAAUGGACGAGAGUCUGAACCAGCCAAGUAGCGUGAAGGAUGACUGCCCUAUGGGUUGUAAACUUCUUUUAUAUGGGAAUAAAAUGUUCCACGUGUGGGAUUUUGUAUGUACCAUAUGAAUAAGGAUCGGCUAACUCCGUGCCAGCAGCCGCGGUAAUACGGAGGAUCCGAGCGUUAUCCGGAUUUAUUGGGUUUAAAGGGAGCGUAGGUGGAUUGUUAAGUCAGUUGUGAAAGUUUGCGGCUCAACCGUAAAAUUGCAGUUGAAACUGGCAGUCUUGAGUACAGUAGAGGUGGGCGGAAUUCGUGGUGUAGCGGUGAAAGGCUUAGAUAUCACGAAGAACUCCGAUUGCGAAGGCAGCUCACUGGACUGCAACUGACACUGAGGCUCGAAAGUGUGGGUAUCAAACAGGAUUAGAUACCCCUGUAGUC
This 460-nucleotide ribosomal RNA is filed under the name uncultured bacterium. RNAcentral describes it as "partial 16S ribosomal RNA". It matches the Rfam family "Bacterial small subunit ribosomal RNA", at positions 338 to 795 of the family's 1533-position model. The record is from RNAcentral.